Molecule: unclassified non-coding RNA, 240 nt
Filed under: soil metagenome
Description: partial contains 5.8S ribosomal RNA, internal transcribed spacer 2, and large subunit ribosomal RNA
Source: RNAcentral
AACGGUCUAUACCUGCGGUACCUGCGGAAGGAUCAUUACCGAGUGAGGACCUAACCGGUCCAACCUCCCACCCGUGUCUACCGUACCUUGUUGCUUCGGCGGGCCCGCCAUUCGUGGCCGCCGGGGGGCAUCUCGCCCCCGGGCCCGCGCCCGCCGGAGACACCAACACGAACACUGUCUGAAGGUCGCAGUCUGAGUCGAUUUAUUUAAUCGUUAAAACUUUUAACAAUGGAUCUCUAG